RNAcentral lists this unclassified non-coding RNA (391 nucleotides) under Hevea brasiliensis (rubber tree). Lineage: Eukaryota; Viridiplantae; Streptophyta; Magnoliopsida; Malpighiales; Euphorbiaceae. The record is from RNAcentral.
AAGAUCUGGUAUGCUCUGUUCUGAUUGUCUUUUGCCUUGGAUUUAGGAUGUAGGAUAUAUAUAAUAUUUUAGUUUAUAGUAAUGCUCUGAGUGGGUAAGAACAAUUCUCAAGAGUAUAUAUAUGCAAAAGCCAAUUUAUAAACCAUAUAUUUUUAAUAUAGAAGAAUUUGGAUAAUAUACUUUGACAUUAUUAAUAUAGGGUUUAUUAAUGUGAUAUACACUAUAUCAGACACAUUUAGUACUGGUUAAUGACAUCUUCAGUGUACCUUAUGCAUCUCUGUAUUCAAUAAAUGCUAGACCCUGAGGUUUAUGGACCAUCACUGGAUUUUUCCAAAUUUAUAAUCUAUUAUUCCCUCCAUCCUAUAAAGAUAGGCUUACUUUCCUUUUUCAU